RNAcentral lists this ribosomal RNA (496 nucleotides) under uncultured bacterium. Its description in RNAcentral is "partial 16S ribosomal RNA". It matches the Rfam family "Bacterial small subunit ribosomal RNA", at positions 29 to 507 of the family's 1533-position model. The record is from RNAcentral.
AUGAACGCUGGCGGCGUGCCUAAUACCUGCAAGUCGAGCGAACAGACGAGGAGCUUGCUCCUCUGACGUUAGCGGCGGACGGGUGAGUAACACGUGGAUAACCUACCUAUAAGACUGGGAUAACUUCGGGAAACCGGAGCUAAUACCGGACAAUAUAUUGAACCGCAUGGUUCAAUAGUGAAAGACGGUUUUGCUGUCACUUAUAGAUGGAUCCGCGCCGCAUUAGCUAGUUGGUAAGGUAACGGCUUACCAAGGCAACGAUGCGUAGCCGACCUGAGAGGGUGAUCGGCCACACUGGAACUGAGACACGGUCCAGACUCCUACGGGAGGCAGCAGUAGGGAAUCUUCCGCAAUGGGCGAAAGCCUGACGGAGCAACGCCGCGUGAGUGAUGAAGGUCUUCGGAUCGUAAAACUCUGUUAUUAGGGAAGAACAAAUGUGUAAGUAACUAUGCACGUCUUGACGGUACCUAAUCAGAAAGCCACGGCUAACUACGUG